RNAcentral lists this long non-coding RNA (424 nucleotides) under Anser cygnoides (Swan goose). RNAcentral describes it as "lncRNA (ENSACDG00005018104.1)". Lineage: Eukaryota; Metazoa; Chordata; Aves; Anseriformes; Anatidae. The record is from RNAcentral.
AUGGAAGUCGGGCAGUGGCAGAUGCCAGGGAAGCAUGGCAAAGCCCUCCUGAGCAGCUCUGCACGGACAAAUUUCCAUCAGACGGACGGAAACCUCGCAGGAGCGGGACCAGCACCAGCCGGGCAGCCAAGGGCUCUCUCCCACGGAUGUGGGCAGCAGAGGGGAUGCUCGGCCCCAUCAGCUUUUCCUGCUGAGAGCACAGCCGUUGCUGGCCAGAGGAUGGGGUGGACACGGGGACUUCAACACAGUUACCUCCUGCCCUGAAAUCAUCAUCCAGCUUUGGAGUCAGCGUUGGCAGCCUGCUGAUGCCACCACACGAAGAAGAAGGGAUGGCAGGAAGAACAAGUCUUAGGAGGAGCGGCUGAGGGAGCUGGGAUUGUUCAGCCUGGAGAAGAGGAGGCUCAGGGGCGACCUUAUCGCACUC